AAUUUGACCUCAAAUCAGGUAGGACUACCCGCUGAACUUAAGC
This 43-nucleotide ribosomal RNA is filed under the name Hebeloma eburneum. RNAcentral describes it as "partial 28S ribosomal RNA". Lineage: Eukaryota; Fungi; Basidiomycota; Agaricomycetes; Agaricales; Hymenogastraceae. The record is from RNAcentral.